AAGUAAUCAAUGGAAAUUUUUUCGGUUUAAAUCUGGCGCCUCGUUGUACAUUUGACAUGUGAUAACGGAAACAAAAUCGUUUCAAGGUCGUCACCGACAUGGCCUACUGUUUGGAUCAGGAGAAACGGAGUUGAUAAGUACAAGAACAAUAUUUGCCAUGCUGAUGAUGUGUGAAAAGGAACGAUGUGUGCCUACGAUCACUCAAGCCUGACCAACGUCUGAUUAUGAUUACAAAUGAGUAUUAUUAGGUGAAAAAUUCACAAGACGAUAAACUAAAUGUUAGCCAUUGUUUGGUGACUUGUGGUGCUUUCGCGUGGGAGUUUUUCGUCACAUGUUGAAGGCGUGAAUUGGUUGCAUAAGUUACUGAACGAAAGGCGAUCUUGGGUGCAUAUUUUUGCAUCUCUAGGCGGUAUAAACGCGUUUAGAGGUCUGAGAUAUUUGUUAGUUGUUCCAUGAACUUCAGUGUGCUACUGAACUAAUGUUAAGCUUUAGAAUUCAAAUCAAGAUGAUCACGUAACGAAAUAUGUAGAAAAUCUGGUGCAUGGUUGUAAUAUUUACCUUCCGAGGAAAGUGGGAUCUUCUAACACAGACAAACAGGUAUAACAUUACUUUUUUCUCCGUCGUUCACACCGAUGCACAUGAUCGUCACAAACGGCGCUACGAGCGCUUAGUAUUUAAAAUGCAAAGGGCGAUGAACCCUACGUAUGUAUAUACGUAAGCUGGCAAUACUGAUGUAAAGUGCAUGUAAUCGUGUUAGGCCAAGAUGUUGAACAAAAACCCUUAUAUAUAGAUAACCUUCAAGUAUCUAUGAUACAUUGGCGAUUAAAAACUAAAUUUGUUCCAAGUGUUGCGCCAGUUUGUCUGUCCUUCCCCUUUCAUAAUAAGAUAAGCAUCAACGCCCUGGAUUGUUUUUCCUUUGUUAAAAUUUUAUUCGUGGUUAGAAUAGAGUUAAUAAGUCAUAUUGGUCCGUUCUAAUGCAAAGAUACGUAGUUAAAAAAGUAAUCUCUGGAUGUAUGCAGUAAAAACAAUUUUUUUCCAUUAAGGCUCAAGUUACCUUGUAACAGUUGUACAUUCCUAGUAUAUUAAGAUUGUAAAUAUUUUGAAUUGAAUGUAUAUAAUAACUUUUACAUUCAAUUCAUUAACAAGCCUAUAAUUUCCACCCACACAAUCCGACAAAUAGAUCAUCAAGUAUCAGACAUAGAAUCCACAUUUCAAUUACUUCAAUCAAAGCUAAUUCUUCCAUCCGCCAAAAUUUAGGCAAUGUGUCCUAUCUUCGAUAAGUCCAACCGUUUCAGUAUCCGAAGAUCACACUCGUUUCUUUCGAGCCCGAGUGAGAUUGCGAGAAUACUAAUUCCAAGAAGAAUCCUUGCACCAAAAGUUGAGGGAAAGGGAAAGCUAGACCGCUUGCUUACGCCAGAACAAACUAGAUGGUUGAAUGAUCUGAGAUCCCGAGUAAUCCCGAAGAAUUCUCAGAAAAUGACGUACUUCCGGGUACUUUGAGACUCCCUUUCUUAAUCUGAGGAAAUCAGGCUUUAAUCACUUUGUCCCAAACCGUUCAGCAGAGUGGAAGUGCCGCGAUUUGUUUCCCGCGUGUAUACCCUAGUUAGCUAGGAAGUGUGCGUUGUGCAUAGAAAACGAAAUAGUGCGAACCGAUUCUGUGUGCGAAUCGAUAGAAGAUUUCUUUAACUCCAAACAGGAUUGAUCGGUGCAAACCGCACGUAAAUCGUUCAUCGCCCGCCGGCCACAUUUCGCAUCACUCUGCAACCGUCGGAAGGACGAAUUUACCCGGCGAACGUUUUGUCGGAAGGGAGCCGAUACGCCAACACAUCGCUCCAUCGGAACUUCCCAAAUCUUCCGGUGACCAUCUGAAGUCCACGUGCCGGUUCGAAUCAUCACUUUCGGCCGGUAAUAGAAGUAACCGUUAACCAGCAACAGCUGGUCAGAUUCGGCCGAGACGAUAGCAGUUCAUCUGAUCGUCUCGUUGCCCCCGCGCACAACAGCAGCAGGAUCAUCAUCACCGUCUUCAUUCAACAGUAGCUGAUUCGGUGAGUCCGUUCGAAUUAUCACUAGUAGUGAAGUGGCGUCCAGAGAAGACGACCCGAAGUGAAAUUUAAGACCGUCCUCCGGUCAGUUUCCUGAGCCCCCGCUUUCAGACGGGCCACGCUCAUGACGUGAUCAAAGAUCCAUGUACACAUGUGACGGCGUUCUCGAUAGCACCCUCGAGACGCACAUGUUAUAAAAAACACCCGGGUGUACAAGCAAUAGCCACAUCUCACUUGCCACUCCAGAGCCCGUAGCCUGUUGGGUCGAAUUUUUGAAAGCACACAGAAGAACAGAUAGAUAGAGAAGAAAAACGCACACAAUAGAGAUAUAGGCCUAUAGCUAGAUAAUAAUGUACAAAUAGAAUCAAGUAUGCUUACCGUUUGAAGAUAAAACCCCGCUAGAAUGCUUAAUACACAACUUUUCAUGGAAGAUUAAAUUAUGUUUGGUUUUGAAUAAAUGUUUCAUGUUAGUGUAUUUGAGAUAGAGUUUUUAGUUCGCUGAAAUAUUUCCCACGUCACCGAUUAUGUUUCGUUCGCUUUUUCUUUGCCGCGUGGCAAAUUUGAAUUAGAUGAUAGAUUCUCUUCCACGUUGUUAGCGCGAUCUGGUGGCAAACAUUAACCCUGCCAGUGAUGAUAAGCUUUUUGGCUAUGGGGAGUUUCGACUGUGGGAUUUAGAAGGUGAGCUUCGGUUCUUGGGGACUUUAGCCGUCUAGGGUAUUUGGACCUGUUCUGGGGUUUAGCUUGUGUGCCUAGCUGAACCGAUCUGGAUUCUUUCAAAGAAAGGAUUCUUUUCUUGACUGGCAUUCUUGCAGUCUCAUCCGGGCAUCUCAAACUUGGCGGUAGUCUCCGAAAGGAGUGGCGCUAAAACUACGCGCUUCAAAAGAUCGGUCAGCGACGGCUACAACCUCAAGGCUUGGUAGUAUGCGUAAGAAAAAUUGUGUUCAGCUUUGCCACCAAAUUAUCCAUCUAAACCUUUUCAAAACUCUAAAAGAAGAAUAUCAGUCGAUUUAUUAGAUCAUCACGAUUCAAUUCAUGCAAAAUACCUGCUGGAAAAACCAUCGGCAUAGCUGGAUGGUGCUUUUGAAAAAGUGGCUGUGAUUUUUUAUCACACUACCACACCGAGCUGGGGUACGCAACACAACUGCGCAAUGAAAAAACCACAGCCACUUUUUCAAAA
Long non-coding RNA from Topomyia yanbarensis, 3219 nucleotides. RefSeq lists it as uncharacterized. The transcript has 3 exons. Lineage: Eukaryota; Metazoa; Arthropoda; Insecta; Diptera; Culicidae. The record is from RefSeq and is a predicted model, not a curated record.